Molecule: ribosomal RNA, 253 nt
Filed under: uncultured bacterium
Lineage: Bacteria
Description: partial 16S ribosomal RNA
Rfam family: Bacterial small subunit ribosomal RNA
Source: RNAcentral
UACGAAGGGGGCUAGCGUUGUUCGGAAUUACUGGGCGUAAAGCGCGUUGAGGCGGGCCGUUAAGUCGGGGGUGAAAGCCCAGAGCUCAACUCUGGAAUUGCCUUCGAUCCUGACGGCCUGGAGCAUGAUAGAGGCGAGUGGAAUUGCGAGUGUAGAGGUGAAAUUCGUAGAUAUUCGCAGGAACACCAGUGGCGAAGGUGACUCGCUGGAUCAUUGCUGAUGUUGAGACGCGAAAGCGUGGGGAGCAAACAGG